GAUGAACGCUGGCGGUAUGCUUAACACAUGCAAGUCGAACGGACUCUUCGGAGUUAGUGGCGGACGGGUGAGUAACGCGUGAGAAUCUGGCUUUGGGUUCGGGACAACCACUGGAAACGGUGGCUAAUACCGGAUGUGCCGAGAGGUAAAAGAGAAAUUGCCUGAAGAUGAGCUCGCGUCUGAUUAGCUAGUUGGUGAGGUAAAGGCUCACCAAGGCAGCGAUCAGUAGGUGGUCUGAGAGGAUGACCAGCCACACUGGGACUGAGACACGGCCCAGACUCCUACGGGAGGCAGCAGUGGGGAAUUUUCCGCAAUGGGCGAAAGCCUGACGGAGCAAUACCGCGUGAGGGAAGAAGGCUCUUGGGUUGUAAACCUCUUUUCUUAGGGAAGAACAAAAUGACGGUACCUAAGGAAUCAGCAUCGGCUAACUCCGUG
This 435-nucleotide ribosomal RNA is filed under the name uncultured bacterium. RNAcentral's name for it is "partial 16S ribosomal RNA". It matches the Rfam family "Bacterial small subunit ribosomal RNA", at positions 28 to 507 of the family's 1533-position model. The record is from RNAcentral.